This 473-nucleotide ribosomal RNA is filed under the name uncultured bacterium. RNAcentral's name for it is "bacterial SSU rRNA". It matches the Rfam family "Bacterial small subunit ribosomal RNA", at positions 355 to 825 of the family's 1533-position model. The record is from RNAcentral.
UCAAGAAACUUCCACAAUGGGCGAAAGCCUGAUGACGCAACGCCGCGUGGGGGAUGAAGGUCUUCGGAUCGUAAACCCCUGUCGAAUGGGACGAAAGACUCGCGAGUGAAUACUUCGCGAGAGUGACGGUACCGUUAAAGGAAGCCACGGUUAACUCUGUGCCAGCAGCCGCGGUAAUACAGAGGUGGCAAGCGUUGUUCGGAAUUACUGGGCGUAAAGGGCGCGUAGGCGGCCCUCUAAGUCAGACGUGAAAUCCCCCGGCUUAACCUGGGAACUGCGUCUGAUACUGGAGGGCUUGAGUAUGGGAGAGGGAUGUAGAAUUCCAGGUGUAGCGGUGAAAUGCGUAGAUAUCUGGAGGAAUACCGGUGGCGAAGGCGGCAUCCUGGACCAUUACUGACGCUGAGGCGCGAAAGCUAGGGGAGUAAACGGGAUUAGAUACCCCUGUAGUCCCUGAGCGGGCUGGCAAGGCGCAU